GUGAUUAUAAUUUAAUACAAAAUAUUAGAUUGUGGUUCUAAAAAUAGAAGUUAAAUCCUUCUUAUUCACCG
RNAcentral lists this transfer RNA (71 nucleotides) under Acrochordonichthys rugosus. RNAcentral describes it as "tRNA-His". It matches the Rfam family "tRNA". From Rfam's summary of the family: Transfer RNA (tRNA) molecules are approximately 80 nucleotides in length. Lineage: Eukaryota; Metazoa; Chordata; Actinopteri; Siluriformes; Akysidae. The record is from RNAcentral.